This 217-nucleotide unclassified non-coding RNA is filed under the name uncultured Odontia. Its description in RNAcentral is "sequence contains ITS2". The record is from RNAcentral. Lineage: Eukaryota; Fungi; Basidiomycota.
AAUUCUCAACUCUCCUCAGAUUUCAUCUGUAUGGGUGAGCUUGGACUUGGAGGUCUUCUGCUGGCGUUCACCAGCUCCUCUUGAAAUCAUUAGCCUUGAGUUGAUCUUGAUGGCUUGACCGGUGUGAUAAACAUCUACGCCGAUUCAUGCUGUCCUGAGCGACGACGUCGGAGACGCUCUGGCUUAUAACCGUCCAUCAACGGACGACGCUCUGAAC